Molecule: ribosomal RNA, 400 nt
Filed under: Macellicephala clarionensis
Lineage: Eukaryota; Metazoa; Annelida; Polychaeta; Phyllodocida; Polynoidae
Description: partial 16S ribosomal RNA
Rfam family: Bacterial large subunit ribosomal RNA
Source: RNAcentral
CAUAAUCAUUUGCCUUCUAAUUAAAGGAUAGUAUGAAUGGAAAAACGAAAUUUUAACUUUAUUGUUAUUAAAAAUAAAACUUAAAAUUCAGGUGAAGAUGCCUGAAUACAAUUGAAAGACAAGAAGACCCCGUAGAAUUUAAGUUAUCCAGACCGACCGCCGUCCUCAAACUUUUGUUGGGGCGACAAAGGAUUAAACAAAACAUCCUUCAAUACAAAGACAUAUCCUUCUCCUCCAAGAUCCUAAACAAAGAUACGCAAAACAAACUACCUCGGGGAUAACAGGCUAAUCUUCUCUCAGAGUCCAUAUCGACGAGAAGGUUUGGCACCUCGAUGUUGGCUUAGAGACACCUCUUACUGCAACAAGUAAAAAGGUUAGUUUGUUCAACUAAUAAUCCUCU